UAUCUCAAUCUCAAGGGUCUUUUCUCUUGGGGGAAAAAGUCGCCGACUGUUAGGAUAAUGUGAAGAAAACUCUUACUUGACUUGGAUACAAGUCAUGUCUGUUUAGAAGGAUACCUUUGUUACCAUGGAGGAAGCCCAUGCUCUGUCAAAGUGAGUGAAUUUCAAUGUAUGAGUAAAUUACAAAAACGUGAUCAUUUCGGUAUAUAAAAAAAAUUAACAAAUUUCUCUUUCUUCGUCGACCUCAUGUGCAACGCUCGAUAUGUUUGUAGUCUCAUUCUGACUGCUAGCUUUCUUACAGUAAGCUUAUAAAAAUACAAUUCGUUGCGGGUUUCCAACUUGCUGACUGACAUUCUAUCGGCAAAAGUGAAAUAAAGGGAGACUUAAACACAGUACUACAUGGUCUAUAGCUGUUGUGACGCUUUCCCUGCGCGCGGGGUUCCUGUGACCCCUGACUCUGCCUGGGGCGCCCCGCAGGGGGCUGAAAGGGGAGUUGAACUAAGUUGAUGUGAAAAGUUCGGAAUAUUUGUGAAAUUGUUGAAUUCUUUUGUUGUUUGAAUGUUGUAAUCCCCCGGAUUGGCAAACUGAACUGAGUAUUAGCCGUGAAUUCCAAAAGAAUAAAUCUUGUGUUAUGAGAAGUGGUUUUGCGGAUUAUAUCAGUCACGGAGCCGGGGAGUUCGGAUACAGCAACAUUCAUUCAGUUCAGGUCCUGACUAUGGAGAAAAGGCUGGAAGUCGAACUCAAUUAGGAUGAGCGAAAAACACAGAAGUGCAGGCGAGCAUGAAAGGCUGGAGGAUUCGCUUGGACUUGAACACAAAAAGAACUCCCUAGCAGGGUACUUGGGGGCGGUGAGUAAGGAAAGUACGAAAAUUAAGACCCUUGUUGAAAAUUCUGUCGAAAUAACUGAGCUAGAAACUGCCUUGAAAAACUUUCAAGCCACAUGGAGUAAAUAUGUAACAUGUAGAAUAUAUAGACGAAGCCGAGUGUGAAAGGGUAGAUAAGAAAUACACUGAAACCCAAGAGGAAUAUUGUGAGCUUUCAAAAUAAAUUAUUUGAAAAGAUUCAAGUUUUGCGUGAAGCAAUGUCUGGGCAAAAGGAAAAUCCAUGAUGCAAAUGGAGUAUGAGAGAAGAAAGAUGGAAUUGGAAUUUGAGAGAAGAAGGAGGGAAUGUGAAUUAAAGUUAAAGAUGGAAAUGGCUGAAAGGCUGGCUGAGUACAAUGGGAAGUACUCAGUAGUUCCUAGUGUUGACAACUUGGAAGUCAAGGGAGGUGUCCAUCUUCUUUCACCCCUCAGCGAUAAAGAGAAAGUUGACAAGUGGUGUCCAUCUUCUUUCACCCCUCAGCUAUAAAGAGAAAGUUGACAAGUGGUGUCCAUCUUCUUUCCCCCCUCAGCUAUAAAGAGAAAGUUGACAAGGGGUGUCCAUCUUCUUUCACCCCUCAGCUAUAAAGAGAAAGUUGACAAGUGGUGUCCAUCUUCUUUCCCCCCUCAGCUAUAAAGAGAAAGUUGACAAGGGGUGUCCAUCUUCUUUCCCCCCUCAGCUAUAAAGAGAAAGUUGACAAGUGGUGUCCAUCUUCUUUCCCCCCUCAGCUAUAAAGAGAAAGUUGACAAGUGGUGUCCAUCUUCUUUCCCCCCUCAGCUAUAAAGAGAAAGUUGACAAGGGGUGUCCAUCUUCUUUCACCCCUCAGCUAUAAAGAGAAAGUUGACAAGUGGUGUCCAUCUUCUUUCCCCCCUCAGCUAUAAAGAGAAAGUUGACAAGUGGUGUCCAUCUUCUUUCCCCCCUCAGCUAUAAAGAGAAAGUUGACAAGGGGUGUCCAUCUUCUUUCCCCCCUCAGCUAUAAAGAGAAAGUUGACAAGGGGUGUCCAUCUUCUUUCACCCCUCAGCUAUAAAGAGAAAGUUGACAAGGGGUGUCCAUCUUCUUUCACCCCUCAGCUAUAAAGAGAAAGUUGACAAGUGGUGUCCAUCUUCUUUCACCCCUCAGCUAUAAAGAGAAAGUUGACAAGUGGUGUCCAUCUUCUUUCCCCCCUCAGCUAUAAAGAAAAAGUUGACAAGUGGUGUCCAUCUUCUUUCACCCCUCAGCUAUAAAGAGAAAGUUGACAAGUGGUGUCCAUCUUCUUUCCCCCCUCAGCUAUAAAGAAAAAGUUGACAAGUGGUGUCCAUCUUCUUUCACCCCUCAGCUAUAAAGAGAAAGUUGACAAGUGGUGUCCAUCUUCUUUCACCCCUCAGCUAUAAAGAGAAAGUUGACAAGUGGUGUUCAUCUUCUUUCACCCCUCAGCUAUAAAGAGAAAGUUGACAAGUGGUGUGCAUCUACUAGUGAUGUGAGUGUUGCGAAGAGUGAACACCCCUUUCAUGAUGCUUUAUCAACUAGUGAUGUGAGUGUUGCGAAGAGUGAACACCCCUUUUAUGAUGCUUUACUUCCCGAAGAAGAAAAACUAACAGUCAAAGUUAGCCAAAAUAAAGAGGAUAACUAUAGAGGACGGAGUUUUAAGUUACGCUCAAAGGGUGGAAUUUCCUCCAAAGAUAAUGACUGGGCUGGCGUACGAAGUAGUAAAAAGGUUAACGGGAUGCUCUUAUGAAGCUGUGAUGAAUGCACUUGAGGAAAGAUAUGGAAAACCUACUACGGUUACUGCGGCAUGUUUUAACAAUUUGACUAAGGGGCCUAGACUGGGAAAUAAUGUCGGAUUGUGUAACUUUGGGGAACAACUAGAAGGUGCUGCCAAGACCCUGGGGGGCAGUAUCGCAGUACACCAAACACCCUUAGACAGAUUGUUGGAAGACUCCUGGGAUACCUGAUAAAUAAAUGGGGGGGGCACCUCGUAUUCAAUUCGGGAGCGAGGGGGAACACCAGAUCUGUCUGACUUCGCAAGGUUUUUUUAAGCUCCAGGCGGCUAUUAGAAAUGACCCUGGAUUUGUAAAUAUCUACCCCCAGAGAAAUUUGGAUAAUGCCACGCCCAACAGAAGAAAGGUACCCCAGGACAAUGAAAGGUCCUCUUCUAAGUUCCAGAACGAGAGACUAUCUUUCACCUUUAUGACUGACCCCAAAUUUAGUGCAAAUACCGCUGACCAGUGUUUAUGUUGAGCAUGUGAGAAGUUUGCAAGUUUGAAGACACAGGGGAGGUGGGACUUAGUAAAGGAACAUAAGUUGUGUCAUGCGUGCCUCACCCCAGGUCACCGCAGGUGGAAGUGUUCGUCUGAAGAAUUUUGUGGCUGUCGCGCAGAGAAGCGACAUCACAAACUCUUGCAUAACGAGUCAAGAAGGAAGGAACGUGAAGGGGCUUCCUUAAGGAGAAAGAAGGAAACUGGCCGGAGGAGAAGUAUGAGGAAGUAGCAGAAGGUGUCAUAAAGACAAAGAAGGAAGUAUAUGCAACGAGCAUAGAGCAGAGGUCGUCCCUGGCGGAAAUGAUUGGGUGAUAUUCUGACUGGAUGAAACUAUUGAGAGCCUGGGCCUGGUUGUUGAAGUUCACCCAGUGGAUUGUACGUAGGACGAGUAAGAAGGACCCAGACCCUGCAGUGAUUCAGAAGCAUAUCACUCCCGAAGAUAUAGAAACGGCGAAGCGGGAAGUCGAGGUGCAACAGUAGGUAUAUCCAGGGGAGCUGAAGAGCGUGAAGGCUGAAGGUAAAGUGCAGGAAAGUAGCCCGUUGGCAUGUCUAAAGCCGAUAAUGAGAGAAGAUGGAGUCUUAAGAGUUGGCGGAAGGAUUUCGAGAACGCCUAUCUCCCUAUACGCAAUGAAUCCAAUGAUCCUACCUAAGGAUCAUCACGUGACCAGGAUACUCAUACGUUACAUUCAUGAGAGGAAUGGACAUUGUGGGCAGGAACAGGUGCUUGCAACCUUGCGAGAGCAAUUCUGGGUAGUACACGCACGUGUGGCUUUUAAGCAAGUCCUGACGAGGUGCAUUGUGUGCCGGAAACAGAGAGCACCAAAGCCCAACAGAUGGCUGAACUGCCAGUCUAGACUCUUGCCUUACGAGCCCCCGUUCACCUUUACUGGAGUGGACUUCUUUGGUCCCUUUUAUGUGAAGCGCGGAAGAGGAAGGGUAUCCACGAAGCGCUAUGGAUGCAUAUUUGUGUGCAUGAACUCUAGAGCUGUUCAUUUAGAGAUCGCCAGGUCCCUGGAGACCGACGACGUCCUCAUGGUCCUGACCCGCUUUCUAAAUCGAAGAGGCCACGUGAGGGAAAUUUGGUCUGAUAACGGUACAAACUUUGUAGGGGCGGACCGAGAGCUUCGCGAGAUUUGGAAAGGAAUGAAUCCUGGCAGAAUUAGCAGCAAGCUACUAGACGUAGGGUUCGCGUGGAAUUUCCAGACCCCGGCGGCCUCGCACAUGUCAGGCGUCUGGGAACGUUUGGUGCGCACUGUAAAGAGAAAUCUAAAGAGCGUGAAGGGUCAAGACCUUAUGGAUGAGUAGGUGCUUUACUGACGCUGAACGUAUGACAAAUUCCAGGCCCCUAACGCGAAACCCUGCAGGUCCCGACGAUGAGGAAGCGCUUACACCGAGUCAUUUUCUCGAUAUCCGGCCGUCGACGAAUAUUCCCGUAGAAGAACCAGACGAGAAGGAUAAGUACCGAAAGAAGCGUUGGCGCCAAGCACAACUACUCUAUUGGAGAAGAUGGCUAAAGGAGUAUAUCCCGAGCCUCCAGGAGAGACGUAAGUGGCACCUUCCGACGCGGAAUCUUCAUGCUGGUGACCUAGUUCUUGUCGCAGAUGAUAAUGUACGGAGAAACAAAUGGCCUCUAAGCCUGGUCAUGAACACCUUUCCAGGAAGGGACGGAAGAGUGAGGAACGUUGAAGUUCGAGUGGAUGGUCGCGUGCUGAGAAGGCCUGUUACCAAGAUAUGUCUGCUCGGGGCGAUAAACGAUGAGGGAUGAGAUGAUCAAGAAAACAUGAUGAUGUAAUGAACGCGCCUUCCGGAUCGUUCAUGGGGGGCGGGAUGUUGUGACGCUUUCCCUGCGCGCGGGGUUCCUGUGGCCCCUGACUCUGCCUGGGGCGCCCCACAUGGGGCUGAAAGGGGAGUUGAACUAAGCUGAUGUGAAAAUUUCGGAAUAUUUGUGAAAUUGUUAAAUUCUUUUGUUGUUUGAAAGCUGUAAUUCCCCGGGUUGGCACCCUGAACGUAUGUACCCGUUUAAUUGAGUUGUAUACCCAUUUUGCAGUGAAUAUUAGCCGUGAAUUCGAAAAGAAUAAACCUUGUGUUAUGAGAA
This is a long non-coding RNA of Nematostella vectensis (starlet sea anemone), 5188 nucleotides long. RefSeq lists it as uncharacterized. The transcript has 2 exons. NCBI's taxonomy places the organism in Eukaryota, Metazoa, Cnidaria, Anthozoa, Actiniaria, Edwardsiidae. The record is from RefSeq and is a predicted model, not a curated record.